UUUAUAGUACAUGUAUGUUCCAAAUAUUGUAUGGGAUAUACAUAUACUAAAA
Molecule: microRNA precursor, 52 nt
Filed under: Marmota monax (woodchuck)
Lineage: Eukaryota; Metazoa; Chordata; Mammalia; Rodentia; Sciuridae
Source: RNAcentral